AACAGCAAGAAUCAAUGAAACCAAAAGUUCAUUCUUUGAAAAGAUCAAUUUUUACCAAUCUUAGCUUGGUGGAAAUUAUAAGCAGAAACCUCAUUAAAACGGAGUCAGGAGGCCCAAAGGGGGAGCCCGCAUGCCCUGUGUGGAGAGAAGAGACCAAGAGGAAGAAGAAAGUCUUCCUCUUCUUGACCAGCAAGAAGCUCAGCCAAUGAGGACUUGUCACAACUCACCAAUGAAAAGCCACUACACUUGGAACUCCCAGUUUCUUCAGUGGACUCUGUUAACAACAGCCCUCCCAACUUCCUCCUCCCUUCUAUAAACGAGUUUCUCCUUCCCUUGCUGCUUCAGGACCUGCAUGUGGCUUACCAUGGUUGCAGACCCCAAAUUCCAAUUGUUUGCUGAUCCUGAAUAAAUCCAUUUUUGCUGGAGAAAUAAUCGAUUGUCUAUUUGUUUAAGGUCAACCUUUGGCGGCCGGUUACAGCUAUCCAGAGAAGACACUCUGAGGCUGGUGAGCAAACAGGUGCGGCACCCACCACAGAGCCCACUGAGCUCGCUGCUUUUCUCGCUGGCCCUGGAGUUGGAGGGUGAGUCACCGAAAGAAAGACGGCUACAAUCCUUAAUCUUCAACUCCAGCAAAUGAAGGCCCCAAAAGAAAACCAAAAACCUCCUAAUUUCUGCUAUUAUUGCAGAGCCACGACGUUAGGAAAGAGAUUGUUACAAAUGUAAGUGCUUUAAGUGCCUCCAGCCCUCUAACCAGCCUUUCCAAUGUCCUCCAAAUUCUCAAGGAUGGGGCUCCAAGGAAAUGCAGGGGUUCUUCCCAAUCCUCCCUCUUAGUCGGCCUGGAGAAAACCUUCUCCAGAUUGGGGUGAAUCUCUUUUUGUCCUAAUUGACACUCAACCCACACUCUUGGUGCUCAGCCCCACUACUCUAAAGCAGCCCCGCCUCGGAAAACGAAAGCAGUUCACAUAUUGGGGAUUUCUAAUAAACCUCAACAGGCUCCUGUACGAACCUAUUCCCUCUUGUUUAGGUCCUUUGAGACACACACACCCUUUUUUCCUUAGUUCCUCCGCCUCUACUCAUUUAUCAGGCUGAGACUUCUUAGAAAAGUAUUGUGUCAGAAUUCUUUCUCCUGAAAGGGGGAAAUAAUUCUAGAAUUUGACAGUAGCCAUCAAAACAGCCCACCAAGUGACUUUCUGACAUCCUUUAUUUGCUCCGUCUCUGACAGUUCUAGAGCUGAUCCUGGAAACACUGAUCAUCUGUCCCUGUUGAAUCAGUUACCACCCUCCUCUUGGGCGACAUCUCCAGCUGAUAUGUUAAAACUCGCAGGACACCUCCCAUCCAGACUCAAACAGAUUCCCCCAAAACCUCUCCCUGGAAUUCAUCAACAUCCUGUAAGGAAAGAAGCCCUUGCAGGUGUACAGUCCAUAAUAGAGGAUUACAGGGCUCGAGGCCUCAUUAUCCUCUGUGCUAAUCCCUGUAACGCUCCUAUUUUACCUCUGAGGAAACCCCGGGGCUGAGAAUGGAGGUUUGUCCAGGACCUCUGAGCAAUAAACAACACGUUAUCCCUCGA
Equus caballus (horse) is the source of this 1567-nucleotide non-coding RNA. The record is from RefSeq and is a predicted model, not a curated record. Lineage: Eukaryota; Metazoa; Chordata; Mammalia; Perissodactyla; Equidae.